GGGGGUGGGAGCCGGUGGGGGGCAGGGCCCCCAGUGCCGGCCCUCGUGGGGCUGGAGGCCCAGCUCCCGCCUCCGUCUGUCUGUCCAUCUCCCCUCUGCGUGGACUCUCGGGUGGGGCUGGUGGGGAGUGACCGCCCUUCCCAGCUCACGGCCACCCGUUGCUCUCUUUCCUUCUUGGGGCUGUUUUGGACUCGGCGGCGCUGUGCAAACACGGGCUCUUGGAGUCGAUCUCGCAGCAGUGACAGCCACAUGUCACCCUGUGUUGUUCUGCAGGCCCCCCGAUCCCGCUGGUUCAGCCCGGUAAGGGGCAGGGCGCACCUUACUUCAGUCCUACAGGGGGUUGGCAUGAGGUGGGGCCAUGGGUCUGGGCAGAGCCCCUUCCCAGGGCCGGGCUGAGGGGGGCUAGCAAUUUUGCAUCCUGAACUUGAAUCGUUUUUAAGGGAGUUUCCCCAAAACUG
Molecule: long non-coding RNA, 458 nt
Filed under: Capra hircus (goat)
Lineage: Eukaryota; Metazoa; Chordata; Mammalia; Artiodactyla; Bovidae
Description: lncRNA (ENSCHIG00010028046.1)
Source: RNAcentral